GAUGAACGCUGGCGGCGUGCCUAAUACAUGCAAGUCGAGCGAACAGACGAGGAGCUUGCUCCUCUGACGUUAGCGGCGGACGGGUGAGUAACACGUGGAUAACCUACCUAUAAGACUGGGAUAACUUCGGGAAACCGGAGCUAAUACCGGAUAAUAUAUUGAACCGCAUGGUUCAAUAGUGAAAGACGGUUUUGCUGUCACUUAUAGAUGGAUCCGCGCCGCAUUAGCUAGUUGUUAAGGUAACGGCUUACCAAGGCAACGAUGCGUAGCCGACCUGAGAGGGUGAUCGGCCACACUGGAACUGAGACACGGUCCAGACUCCUACGGGAGGCAGCAGUAGGGAAUCUUCCGCAGUGGGCGAAAGCCUGACGGAGCAACGCCGCGUGAGUGAUAAAGGUCUUCGGAUCGUAAAACUCUGUUAUUAGGGAAGAACAAAUGUGUAAGUAACUAUGCACGUCUUGACGGUACCUAAUCAGAAAGCCACGGCUAACUACGUG
This 497-nucleotide ribosomal RNA is filed under the name uncultured bacterium. Its description in RNAcentral is "partial 16S ribosomal RNA". It matches the Rfam family "Bacterial small subunit ribosomal RNA", at positions 28 to 507 of the family's 1533-position model. The record is from RNAcentral.